UGGGGAAUAUUGCACAAUGGGCGCAAGCCUGAUGCAGCCAUGCCGCGUGUGUGAAGAAGGCCUUCGGGUUGUAAAGCACUUUCAGCGAGGAGGAAGGUGGUGGACUUAAUACGUUCAUCAAUUGACGUUACUCGCAGAAGAAGCACCGGCUAACUCCGUGCCAGCAGCCGCGGUAAUACGGAGGGUGCAAGCGUUAAUCGGAAUUACUGGGCGUAAAGCGCACGCAGGCGGUUUGUUAAGUCAGAUGUGAAAUCCCCGGGCUCAACCUGGGAACUGCAUUUGAAACUGGCAAGCUAGAGUCUCGUAGAGGGGGGUAGAAUUCCAGGUGUAGCGGUGAAAUGCGUAGAGAUCUGGAGGAAUACCGGUGGCGAAGGCGGCCCCCUGGACGAAGACUGACGCUCAGGUGCGAAAAGCGUGGGGAGCAAAACAGGAUUAGAUACCCUGGUAGUCCACGCUGUAAAACGAUGUCGAUUUGGAGGUUGUGCCCUUGAGGCGUGGCUUCCGGAGCUAACGCGUU
RNAcentral lists this ribosomal RNA (517 nucleotides) under uncultured bacterium. RNAcentral's name for it is "partial 16S ribosomal RNA". It matches the Rfam family "Bacterial small subunit ribosomal RNA", at positions 355 to 861 of the family's 1533-position model. The record is from RNAcentral.